CCUACGGGAGACAGCAGUGGGGAAUAUUGGGCAAUGGGCGCAAGCCUGACCCAGCAACGCCGCGUGAGCGAUGAAGGUCUUCGGAUUGUAAAGCUCUGUCGCAGGGGACGAAGUAUGACGGUACCCUGUAAGAAAGCCCCGGCAAACUACGUGCCAGCAGCCGCGGUAAUACGUAGGGGGCUAGCGUUGUCCGGAAUUACUGGGCGUAAAGGGAGUGUAGCCGGGCUGACAAGUCAGAUGUGAAAUCCGGGGGCUCAACCCCCGAACUGCAUUUGAACCUGUUGGUCUUGAGUAUCGGAGAGGCAGGCGGAAUUCCUAGUGUAGCGGUGAAAUGCGUAGAUAUUAGGAGGAACACCAGUGGCGAAGGCGGCCUGCUGGACGACAACUGACGGUGAGGCGCGAAAGCGUGGGGAGCAAACAGGAUUAGAUACCCCAGUAGUC
RNAcentral lists this ribosomal RNA (441 nucleotides) under uncultured bacterium. Its description in RNAcentral is "partial 16S ribosomal RNA". It matches the Rfam family "Bacterial small subunit ribosomal RNA", at positions 338 to 795 of the family's 1533-position model. The record is from RNAcentral.